GCAGGUGAAGGCAAACGGGCUGCGACAUCUGUCACCCCAUCGAUGGCAGAGGUUGAUUCCGCUGACCUGGCUGGCUAGGCGGGUGGCCCCUUCCUCCCUCACCGCUCCGUGUGCGUCCUUUUAUGAGGUCGAAUAGAGGACGACCUUUCGUGAACAGAGGAGGGCAUGUCUUCAGUCAAGGGUACAUGAGUAGCUUCGCUCCCCUGGUGGAACGUCCGAGCAAGCUCUCUUAAAAUAGUGUCUUUCUAUGUAGCCCAGGCUACCCCCCAAUGCUUAAGUUCUCCUGCGUCUGCUCCUUGGGUACAGAGAUUAUAGG
This 316-nucleotide small nuclear RNA is filed under the name Jaculus jaculus (lesser Egyptian jerboa). RNAcentral's name for it is "7SK RNA (ENSJJAG00000001520.1)". It matches the Rfam family "7SK RNA". From Rfam's summary of the family: 7SK was discovered as an abundant small nuclear RNA in the mid-70s but a possible function has only recently been suggested. Two independent studies have found that 7SK RNA binds the CDK9/cyclin T complex (known as elongation factor P-TEFb). Lineage: Eukaryota; Metazoa; Chordata; Mammalia; Rodentia; Dipodidae. The record is from RNAcentral.